Molecule: ribosomal RNA, 508 nt
Filed under: uncultured Kingella sp.
Lineage: Bacteria; Pseudomonadati; Pseudomonadota; Betaproteobacteria; Neisseriales; Neisseriaceae
Description: bacterial SSU rRNA
Rfam family: Bacterial small subunit ribosomal RNA
Source: RNAcentral
GAGUUUGAUCCUGGCUCAGAUUGAACGCUGGCGGCAUGCUUUACACACGCAAGUCGGACGGCAGCGGGGGUGCUUGCACCUGCCGGCGAGUGGCGAACGGGUGAGUAACAUAUUGGAAUGUACCGAGUAGUGGGGGAUAACCAAUCGAAAGAUUGGCUAAUACCGCAUACGUCCUGAGGGGGGAAAGCAGGGGGAUCUUCGGACCUUGCGCUAUUUGAGCAGCCAAUAUCUGAUUAGCUAGUUGGUGGGGUAAAGGCCCACCAAGGCGACGAUCAGUAGCGGGUCUGAGAGGAUGAUCCGCCACACUGGGACUGAGACACGGCCCAGACUCCUACGGGAGGCAGCAGUGGGGAAUUUUGGACAAUGGGGGGCAACCCUGAUCCAGCCAUGCCGCGUGUCUGAAGAAGGCCUUCGGGUUGUAAAGGACUUUUGUUAGGGAAGAAAAGGGAAGUGCUAAUACCACUUUUUGCUGACGGUACCUAAAGAAUAAGCACCGGCUAACUACGUG